AGUAGAGUCAGCUAAUAAAGCUUUCGGGCCCAUACCCCGACAAUGUUGGUUUAAAUCCCUCCUAUACUA
RNAcentral lists this transfer RNA (69 nucleotides) under Lepidodactylus lugubris. RNAcentral describes it as "tRNA-Met". It matches the Rfam family "tRNA". Rfam says of the family: Transfer RNA (tRNA) molecules are approximately 80 nucleotides in length. Their secondary structure includes four short double-helical elements and three loops (D, anti-codon, and T loops). Further hydrogen bonds mediate the characteristic L-shaped molecular structure. tRNAs have two regions of fundamental functional importance: the anti-codon, which is responsible for specific mRNA codon recognition, and the 3' end, to which the tRNAs corresponding amino acid is attached (by aminoacyl-tRNA synthetases). tRNAs cope with the degeneracy of the genetic code in two manners: having more than one tRNA (with a specific anti-codon) for a particular amino acid; and 'wobble' base-pairing, i.e. permitting non-standard base-pairing at the 3rd anti-codon position. Lineage: Eukaryota; Metazoa; Chordata; Lepidosauria; Squamata; Gekkonidae. The record is from RNAcentral.